GAGAGAGGAGGAGCGGCUGUCGGUAGGCUCUCUGAGCCGGCUGAGGAAAGUCCCCCCACCAGCUGGAGACACGAACACCGGAAGGUGUAGGGCGAGAGUCCUGGCUCUGGCACAGAAACGACACGGCACUGUGUUAAUGCGAUGAUGCAGAGAUGCUGAGGUCGCACAGCUGCCGAUGAAACGGCGAAUCCUCGUGGGUGCAAGCCAAUCUGGGUAGAUGAGAUCCAGCCGAUACCCAAGUAGGGCGCGAAGAUAGAUGCCGCUUAAAACAGAAGGGGGCUUACCAUCCUCACUC
The sequence is a non-coding RNA, 295 nucleotides long. It matches the Rfam family "Archaeal RNase P". Rfam says of the family: Ribonuclease P (RNase P) is a ubiquitous endoribonuclease, found in archaea, bacteria and eukarya as well as chloroplasts and mitochondria. Its best characterised activity is the generation of mature 5'-ends of tRNAs by cleaving the 5'-leader elements of precursor-tRNAs. The record is from Rfam.